This 432-nucleotide ribosomal RNA is filed under the name Salmonella enterica subsp. enterica serovar Duesseldorf. Its description in RNAcentral is "partial 23S ribosomal RNA". It matches the Rfam family "Bacterial large subunit ribosomal RNA", at positions 137 to 607 of the family's 2925-position model. The record is from RNAcentral. Lineage: Bacteria; Pseudomonadati; Pseudomonadota; Gammaproteobacteria; Enterobacterales; Enterobacteriaceae.
GACUCGUCACACUAUCAUUAACUGAAUCCAUAGGUUAAUGAGGCGAACCGGGGGAACUGAAACAUCUAAGUACCCCGAGGAAAAGAAAUCAACCGAGAUUCCCCCAGUAGCGGCGAGCGAACGGGGAGGAGCCCAGAGCCUGAAUCAGCAUGUGUGUUAGUGGAAGCGUCUGGAAAGGCGCGCGAUACAGGGUGACAGCCCCGUACACAAAAGCGCAUGUGCUGUGAGCUCGAUGAGUAGGGCGGGACACGUGGUAUCCUGUCUGAAUAUGGGGGGACCAUCCUCCAAGGCUAAAUACUCCUGACUGACCGAUAGUGAACCAGUACCGUGAGGGAAAGGCGAAAAGAACCCCGGCGAGGGGAGUGAAAAAGAACCUGAAACCGUGUACGUACAAGCAGUGGGAGCCUCUUUUAUGGGGUGACUGCGUACCUU